CGUGUAGGCGGCUGGCUAAGUCUGGUGUGAAAGCCCGGGGCUCACCCCCGGAAGUGCGCUGGAAACUAGUCAGCUAGAGUAUGGGAGAGGGAAGUGGAAUUCCUGGUGUAGCGGUGAAAUGCGUAGAUAUCAGGAGGAACACCGGCGGCGAAGGCGGCUUCCUGGACCAAUACUGACGCUGAGACGCGCAAGCGUGGGGAGCAAACAGGAUUAGAUACCCUGGUAGUCC
Molecule: ribosomal RNA, 229 nt
Filed under: uncultured bacterium
Lineage: Bacteria
Description: partial 16S ribosomal RNA
Rfam family: Bacterial small subunit ribosomal RNA
Source: RNAcentral